RNAcentral lists this ribosomal RNA (497 nucleotides) under uncultured bacterium. Its description in RNAcentral is "partial 16S ribosomal RNA". It matches the Rfam family "Bacterial small subunit ribosomal RNA", at positions 28 to 507 of the family's 1533-position model. The record is from RNAcentral.
GAUGAACGCUGGCGGCGUGCCUAAUACAUGCAAGUCGAGCGAACAGACGAGGAGCUUGCUCCUCUUACGUUAGCGGCGGACGGGUGAGUAACACGUGGAUAACCUACCUAUAAGACUGGGAUAACUUCGGGAAACCGGAUCUAAUACCGGAUAAUAUAUUGAACCGCAUGGUUCAAUAGUGAAAGACGGUUUUGCUGUCACUUAUAGAUGGAUCCGCGCCGCAUUAGCUAGUUGGUACGGUAACGGCUUACCAAGGCAACGAUGCGUAGCCGACCUGAGAGGGUGAUCGGCCACACUGGAACUGAGACACGGUCCAGACUCCUACGGGAGGCAGCAGUAGGGAAUCUUCCGCAAUGGGCGAAAGCUUGACGGAGCAACGCCGCGUGAGUGAUGAAGGUCUUCGGAUCGUAAAACUCUGUUAGUAGGGAAGAACAAAUGUGUAAGUAACUAUGCACGUCUUGACGGUACCAAAUCAGAAAGCCACGGCUAACUACGUG